RNAcentral lists this ribosomal RNA (373 nucleotides) under uncultured organism. RNAcentral describes it as "bacterial SSU rRNA". It matches the Rfam family "Bacterial small subunit ribosomal RNA", at positions 526 to 896 of the family's 1533-position model. The record is from RNAcentral.
CGGAGGGUGCAAGCGUUGUCCGGAUUUAUUGGGCGUAAAGAGCGCGUAGGCGGUCUGUUAAGUGUGAAGUGAAAUCUCCAGGGCUCAACCCGGAAACUGCUUCGCAUACUGGCAGACUUGAGGAAUGCAGAGGUUUGUGGAAUUCCUGGUGUAACGGUGAAAUGUGUUAAUAUCAGGAGGAACACCCAUGGCGAAGGCAGCAAACUGGGCAUUAUCUGACGCUGAGGCGCGAAAGCGUGGGUAGCAAACAGGAUUAGAUACCCUGGUAGUCCACGCCCUAAACGAUGGAUACUAGGCGUGAGAGGUAUCGACCCCUCUUGUGCCGCAGCUAACGCAUUAAGUAUCCCGCCUGGGGAGUACGGCCGCAAGGUUG